RNAcentral lists this long non-coding RNA (3048 nucleotides) under Mus musculus (house mouse). RNAcentral's name for it is "long non-coding RNA chr2:135086023-135089071". Lineage: Eukaryota; Metazoa; Chordata; Mammalia; Rodentia; Muridae. The record is from RNAcentral.
AAAAAAUAUUUAAAAAAUAUAACCUGGAAAUAAGUCUCAAUGGUGUCUGCUUUUAAUACAUGAAGUCCUGAAUUCAGUUCCCAUAGCCACAUUGAAAAGAAAGAAAAGUGUCUGCAUGAAGUGACCUUGAAGUGACCUUUUAGACAGCAGGUGUCAGGCACAGUGAGGGCUUCAUUGUUCACAAUUAGGUCAUUAUUCUCUAUAACAAGUCCAUAUCUACUUUCUUUGGCCAUAUAUAAGUGGUAGCACCACUUGCCUAUCAGCUACUAUACAAGAAACAAGUAUCAUCUUAGCAGGUUAAAUCCAAACUGUUCUUGCUGGGUGAAUAUGCCCCAGAAAGUGGGUACUCACUGGGAUUAUGGACUUCACUGGCUGACAAGCCCUGUGCCCUGAGCACUUGAAAGGCAGUCGGAUUAUAUUUAUUAAAUCCUAUCAAAGACCUUCAGUCUGAAAUCUUAAAAGAGCAAUAGACUUUCAGACCCAAUUUUUUUUUUCAGAGUAGCAUAUUUUAAAGGACUUUUCUUUUAAUGACUAAUAAAAAUAAAGCUUCUAUUUUCCAGGUAGGGCAAAGUGAGGUAGCUUCGUGGUCUCUAUAAAUAUUAUUUUGAGGCUCCCAGUGGUUUUCUAAGAGAACAGAAAAGUCUUUUAUGAAAUUAAUCAAAUAUCCAAACCUGCUUUGAAGAAGAGUCCCACUGUACAGUUCACCUCAUAAAAACAAAAUCUUUGUUUUUGUGGUCUCAUGGACUUUAAGCCAAUGCCACUAAGCAUGGUGGCACUAAUAUUCUUGGCCCAAAGAAUAUUAGGAAGUGGUAUCUGUUAAAGACAGAUGAAAUUAGUUAUUUAAAAAGGGCAAACUUUAUCAAAUACAGUUCUCCAGUGUCUUUGCAUCUAACUCAUUCAAAUAUAUGUUUGCAAAUGCCAGUCCUUUGUCCCAUUUUUUUUCAGGCUUUUGAUUUUUUCAUAUUUAAUUUUUUUUUUUGGCUCCAUGCUUGCAUCCCAGAAUCUUUUUAAAUUUGGUUGCUGACAUUUUGGCAAUGUGAUGGUUAAUCUCCGUUGUUAAAGUGACUGGAUUUAGAAUCCCCAUGGAAACGUACCUCUGCUCAUAUCUAGGAGGGGUGAUUCCAGCCCCUUGGUUUAACUGAGAAGGAAGAUCCACCUUGAAUGUCAAUGACACCAUCCCAUGGGCUGGUCUCAGACUGAAAAAAAGAUAGAAAGGAAAGAAAGAAAGAGCCAGCUGAGCUCCAUUCAGGACUUUGCCUCCUGACUAUGCUCACAAAAAGAAAAGCCACCUCUCACUCCUAUCUCCAUGCCUUCCCAGGGUGUAUCCUUUCUUAAAUAAUAAGCUAAAAUAAAACAUUUCUUUUCUUAAAUUGCUUUGUCAGGUAUUUGGUUACAGCAAUGAGGAAGGUAGGAUAGUGGGAUGCAGGAUCUAAAGUGAGUUUGUUGCCAUAGCGUCUGCUAAGAUGUGUAUAUGUCUGAUGCAGGUAAUAGAGAUAGAAGGAGCUUUCACAUUUCUCAGGAGAACACUGACUAUUUUAAUGUUACAUGUGUAGGCAGCCACCCUGCUCGCUCUUACCUAUGUUCCCACACCCAAGUCAUGCAGGAGCAGAGAUCCAUAUUUAGUUGAUAGCUGAUAUUAUGAAAACUUUAGCCUGUCAAAGGUUCGUAAACCUUUUUUUUUCUCAAUGUGGUAUGUUAUGAAGACAAAUGAAGAUUAGAAAGCAUUUUCCUAAAUAAACUGAUAAGCACAGUUUAUAAUGUUGAAUUAUUAUUUUCCUGUGUAUGGCCUACCAUGUGUAUGUGCCUCUGCUUUGGACUGGGAGCUCAAUGUAGAUAUGGUUUCUGUUCUCAGGGACUUACAUGGACUUGUGUGGAAAAUGAACCUAGAUUCUUAAAUGGCCAUGAAUUAAAUAUCUGUAUCUGGCAAGAGAAUAGAUAUGACUUUUGCAGUGCGACAAGCAAAAUGCUAAGAGAACUCAAAUCAAAAAUCCACUAGAAACUAAAGAAUGCUUUUCUUACCAAAGGAAAACAGCAUAUAUAUAAAAUACAAAGUAUCUUGACUAAUUGACCUAGAAAUCUGGUCAUACCAAAUGAAAAUGCUUCUGUAUUUAUAUAAUUUUAUUUCUAAAAGGGGAAACUUAGCUUCAUGCCUUUUCUCCCUGCCUCCUCCCACUAAUUUCUUGGAGUGUGAAAAAUGAGUUCGUAACCUUUUCAUACUAUCUGUCUUGUAGUCCGAUCUGGUGUUGAUCCAGUAGGUGGUGAAAAUUCUAACUGCCUCCCAACAUCAGGUAGACUGAAGCCAUGGAGGCGGCAGCGGGCGGGUGUGGGCACUGGUCAGCCACAGGGUACAUAGUGUGCUGCCAUCCACAGGAGGUUAUAGAAUGUUCUCAUUUUUUGUAAGUGUUGACUUGAGAGUUGGCUUUUCAACAGAGGCAUGCUCUCUCUAUAGCAAUGUGUGGAUAAUCUGACAGGAUGCCCUAUUCAUUCUACACUGGAGCUUUCCUAAUUGAGUCAUUCUGAGGCUCUUAUGGCUUCUUGUAUUAAAUUUUCAAUCUGUUGAUGAAGUGUUUUAUCUUUGGAGUCUGAUAGCAUCUUGGAAUCACACCUGUAUUUGGGAAGACAAAUACCAAAAAUUAUCCAUGUAGAAUGUAAUAUUAAAAUGUCUUGCACCUUGCAAGAGAAGAUUCCAUUACUAUAGCAUAUUUUAUUAUUGUGAAAAUACCUGCUGCCCUUCCUACCCUAUACUUCCAUGUUUAGCUUCUGCUGUCAGAAGACCCUUCCAUGUCAUCGUUGCAAGGUUCAAAUGUGGCUUGCUUUGAACAGUGAAGCAUAGAAGCUGAAGUGUAAUCAAUGUCUACCACAACCUUCAGUGAGCUGAGUAGGUCUUUCCCAGAAACUCCUAGGUAUUCAGUCAGACUCUAAAGCGAAGAGCAAAGCUCCCUACAUCAGGGAUUGUGUAAGCAAGACAUGAGCAUGUAGUGGAUUGAAGAUAGAGCUGAGUAUAGAAUGUUCGCUAGCAUGUGUGAGACUCUGAGCUCAAUUGCCAGU